Molecule: ribosomal RNA, 275 nt
Filed under: uncultured bacterium
Lineage: Bacteria
Description: partial 16S ribosomal RNA
Rfam family: Bacterial small subunit ribosomal RNA
Source: RNAcentral
AUACGUAGGGGGCAAGCGUUGUCCGGAAUUACUGGGCGUAAAGAGCUCGUAGGCGGCUCAGCAAGUCGGUCGUGAAAGCCCGAGGCUCAACCUCGGAACUGCGGUCGAUACUGCUGUGGCUAGAGUCCGGUAGAGGAGAGUGGAAUUCCCGGUGUAGCGGUGGAAUGCGCAGAUAUCGGGAGGAACACCAGUGGCGAAGGCGGCUCUCUGGGCCGGUACUGACGCUGAGUAGCGAAAGCGUGGGGAGCAAACAGGAUUAGAUACCCUAGUAGUCC